RNAcentral lists this ribosomal RNA (253 nucleotides) under uncultured bacterium. RNAcentral's name for it is "partial 16S ribosomal RNA". It matches the Rfam family "Bacterial small subunit ribosomal RNA", at positions 524 to 776 of the family's 1533-position model. The record is from RNAcentral.
UACGGAGGGUGCAAGCGUUGUUCGGAAUCACUGGGCGUAAAGCGCGUGUAGGCGGCCAUUUAAGUCUGGUGUGAAAGCCCUGGGCUCAACUCAGGAAGUGCACUGGAUACUGGAUGGCUGGAGUACCGGAGAGGAGGGUGGAAUUCCUGGUGUAGCGGUGAAAUGCGUAGAUAUCAGGAGGAACACCGGUGGCGAAGGCGUCCCUCUGGCCGGAUACUGACGCUGAGACGCGAAAGCGUGGGGAGCAAACAGG